AUAGGUCAAGUUACUAAGAGCGCAGGGCGAAUGCCUUGGCACCAAUCGCCGAUGAAGGACGUGACAAGCUGCGAUAAGCUGCGGUUAGGAGCAAAUAUCCAUUGACCCGCAGAUUUCCGAAUGGGGAAACCCAUAUGAGGUAAAUGCUCAUAUACCGUUAACUGAAUCCAUAGGUUAACGGAGGGAGACGGGGUGAACUGAAACAUCUAAGUAGCCCCAGGAAGAGAAAUCAAACGAGAUUCCGUAAGUAGUGGCGAGCGAAAGCGGAAGAGGCCAAACCGUGAAACUUCGGUUUUGCGGGGUUGUGGACUGUAUAAGUGACUUGGAAUCUAGCAGAAGAGUACAUGGAAAGGUACCGCCAUAGCGCGUAAGAGCCGCGUAUGCGAAAGAGGAAGAGAGCGACAGUAUCCAGAGUACCACGAGACACGAGGAACCUUGUGGGAAGCCGGGGGGACCACCCUCCAAGCCUAAAUACGAAUUGGUGACCGAUAGUGAAGAAGUACUGUGAAGGAAAGGUGAAAAGAACCCCUGGCGGGGAGUGAAAAAGAACCUGAAACCCUGUGUUUACAAGCAGUCGAAGAGCGUUAAAGCUCGACGGCGUACUUUUUGUAGAACGGUCCGACGAGUUAUGGCAGUAAGCGAGGUUAAGUACUUAAGGUACGGAGCCGAAGGGAAACCGAGUCUGAAUAGGGCGUUAAGUUUGCUGUUAUAGACCCGAAACCGGGUGACCUAUCCAUGAGCAGGUUGAAGGUGAGGUAAAACUCACUGGAGGACCGAACCGGUGUAAGUUGAAAAUUGCUCGGAUGACUUGUGGAUAGCGGAGAAAUUCCAAUCGAACUCGGAGAUAGCUGGUUCUCCUCGAAAUAGCUUUAGGGCUAGCCUCGUAUAUGUAGCGUGGAGGUAGAGCACUGAAUUGUCUAGGGGCCUACACAGGUUACCGAAACUUAUCAAACUCCGAAUGCCGCGUGAUUUAAGUACGGGAGUCAGACAGCGACAGAUAAGUGCCGUUGUCAAAAGGGAAACAGCCCAGAUCGCCAGCUAAGGUCCCAAAAUCAUAGUUAAGUGGAAAAGGAUGUGGAUUUGCUAAGACAGCUAGGAUGUUGGCUUAGAAGCAGCCACUCAUUUAAAGAGUGCGUAAUAGCUCACUAGUCGAGUGAGUCUGCGCCGAAGAUAACCGGGGCUAAAACUAUGUACCGAAGCUGCGGAUCCUGAAAAGGAUGGUAGAGGAGCUUACUGUAGGCAGUUGAAGCACGAUCGAAAGGACGUGUGGAUGUAUCAGUAGUGAGAAUGUCGGAAUAAGUAACGAGAGACAAGUGAGAAUCUUGUCCGUCGAAAAUCCAAGGUUUCCUGGGGAAGGGUCGUCCUCCCAGGGUUAGUCGGGACCUAAGACGAGGCUGACAAGCGUAGCCGAUGGACAACAGGUUGAUAUUCCUGUACUGCCGAUACUCGUUAUCAGAGAGGCAGGGACGCAGAAGGAUAGUCGAAGCACACUGCAGGAAAUGUGUGUUCAAGUGUUGAGGAUAGAGUGGUAGUAAAGUACGCCACUUGUUUCUGGGGCACGAUGAGGAGGGAAAAUAAGUACCGAAGUCGAUGAUUUCACACUGACGAGAAAAGCUGCUAUCGAGAGUAGAGGUACCCGUACCGCAAACCGACACAGGUGGAUGAGGAGAGAAUCCUAAGACGAGCGGGAGAAGCGUUGUUAAGGAACUCGGCAAAUUAACCCCGUAAGUUCGCAAUAAGGGGAGCCUCGGAGCAAUCCAGGCCGCAGAGAAUAGGCCCAAUCAACUGUUUACCAAAAACACAGGUCUCCGCUAAAUCGUAAGAUGAAGUAUGGGGGCUGACGCCUGCCCGGUGCUGGAAGGUCACGGGAAUCUGUUAGAGCAAUCGAAGCAGUGAACUUAAGCCCCAGUAAACGGCGGCCGUAACUAUAACGGUCCUAAGGUAGCGAAAUUCCUUGUCAGGUAAGUUCUGACCCGCACGAAUGGCGUAAUGAGUUGGGCACUGUCUCGACAACGUACCCGGUGAAAUUGUAGUACUUGUGAAGAUGCAAGUUACCCGCGACUAGACGAAAAGACCCCAUGGAGCUUCACUGUAGAUUGUUACUGGGAUUCGAUAUUGUCUGUACAGGAUAGGUGGGAGACUUUGAAGUAGUGGCGUCAGUUGCUAUGGAGUCGCCGUUGGGAUACCACUCUGACAGUAUUGGGUCUCUAACCAGAACCCGUGAUCCGGGUUUGGGACAAUGGCAGUCGGACAGUUUGACUGGGGCGGUCGCCUCCUAAAAGGUAACGGAGGCGUCCAAAGGUCACCUCAGUACGGUUGGAAACCGUGCGUCGAGUGCAAAGGCAUAAGGUGGCUUAACUGCGAGACAGACAGGUCGAGCAGGUACGAAAGUAGGGCUUAGUGAUCCGGCGGUAGAAUGUGGAAUUGCCGUCGCUCAACGGAUAAAAGUUACCCUGGGGAUAACAGGCUGAUCUCCCCCAAGAGUUCACAUCGACGGGGAGGUUUGGCACCUCGAUGUCGGCUCAUCACAUCCUGGGGCUGAAUUAGGUCCCAAGGGUUCGGCUGUUCGCCGAUUAAAGUGGUACGCGAGCUGGGUUCAGAACGUCGUGAGACAGUUCGGUCUCUAUCUAUCGUGGGCGUAGGAAAUUUGAGGAGUGCUGUCCUUAGUACGAGAGGACCGGGAUGGACAAACCUCUGGUGUACCAGUUGUCACGCCAGUGGCACAGCUGGGUAGCUAUGUUUGGAUUGGAUAAACGCUGAAGGCAUCUAAGUGUGAAGCCAGCUUCAAGAUGAGAUUUCCCUCUUUUUGGUAAGGGCACUGGCAGACUACCAGUUGAUAGGCCGGGUGUGUAAGCAUAGAAAUAUGUUCAGCUGACCGGUACUAACGCCCGAGGACUUGACCAC
This 2904-nucleotide ribosomal RNA is filed under the name Ruminococcaceae bacterium KH2T8. Its description in RNAcentral is "bacterial LSU rRNA". It matches the Rfam family "Bacterial large subunit ribosomal RNA". Lineage: Bacteria; Bacillati; Bacillota; Clostridia; Eubacteriales; Oscillospiraceae. The record is from RNAcentral.